Daphnia magna is the source of this 412-nucleotide long non-coding RNA. RefSeq lists it as uncharacterized. The record is from RefSeq and is a predicted model, not a curated record. Lineage: Eukaryota; Metazoa; Arthropoda; Branchiopoda; Diplostraca; Daphniidae. The transcript is spliced from 3 exons.
AUUCUUAUUUCUUUUGCAGGUUCUCAGUGACUACGACUCGAGUGUCCUUUGUGUCUGUUACCCUCAGAUUCUGCCUCCUGAAAUUUACAACAUUUUAUGGGAUCAAAUUCUUCGUGCCUGUUACCAUACACUACUUGACGGAUUUUCCGCUGUAAGAAAAUGCACGAACGAAGGUCGUGCACUAAUGCAGUUAGACUUCAGGCAUUUUCAAGUCAAAGUGGAAAGCUUGACACGUCUAAGACCUCUUCCUGACCCACAUAUUGUCGAAACAUACAUAAAGGCAUAUUAUUUACCUGAAAAUUCUUUCGAAAAAUGGAUUCAAGAACAAACGGAAUAUACUCCUAGGCAGAUGAUGAAUCUUCUUCAAUACGUAAGUCAAGGCAGUAAAAAGAUUCGGCUGAACUGAACUUCC